This 2173-nucleotide long non-coding RNA is filed under the name Elaeis guineensis (African oil palm). RNAcentral describes it as "long non-coding RNA (EGUI_LNC012185)". The record is from RNAcentral. Lineage: Eukaryota; Viridiplantae; Streptophyta; Magnoliopsida; Arecales; Arecaceae.
AUUAAUUAACUAACACUAGUUCAGAGCAUCUCAAUCCAAAUCAAAUACUAAAACACAUAUCUCUAAAUUCAUAAAUAAUUAACUACAAGUCCAUGAUCAUCUAAUAAACUAAAAUUCAGCUACAAAAUUUUCAAGCUUGCUAGCGUAAACCCUCAAGCCUGAAUCAUCUGUCAUUGUUAAUCUUAUUUUUCUGUAAAAGAAAAGAAGGAUAAAGAGGUAUGAGCUAUACUAGCUCAGCAAGUAAAACUUAUACUAUUUUACCGAAUCAAGCAUAAGUUUUUCAUGCAUCAAUAAAUUAUUUAGAGUAGAUAAUUAUCAUUAUAAGAUAAAACUUUUCAUAAUAGCAGUAUAAUCAUAAAUCAGUUAUGCUCUUGUAUAUGCAUAAAUCAUGCAAUUUUAUAUAAAUACGGUUUCUAAUGCAUAAUAUAAAUAAAUUCAUAAAUCACACUAACUUUAUAAAUAAAGUCAUAAAUCAUUUAUUAUUUGACUACAUUAUUAUUCUUAAUAAUUUUCUCAUACUAAAUGCUAAGUCAUUAUUAUACUCGUGACAGGACUGUAAUCGACAAAAUACAAACUACUAUUAUCCACUGGUAUGGUCAUAUGUCAACUACUACCCAAUGGCAGAGUCGUAUGCCAACUACUGUUACUUCUCAGCAGGGUUAUAUGCCAACAACUAAUACCCACUAGUAGGGUCACUUGGAUGCUAACUCCAGAUAUCAAUCUUCUCCACUUUUAGAGGCCAUACAGAGUUAUCUGAGAGUUUUAUUCCAUAUUUCUUAAAACAAAUAUUUUUCAACCAUAUUUCAUCAAAUUAUAUUUCUUAAAUAACACAGAAAUAAGAUAUUAAAUAAUUUUAUAGAGUUUAUGAUACAUAAAUAAUUUUUGAUAGUAAAAUAAUCAAGAAAUCAUUUCUUUCAUAAUAAAAUAUAAAUUUUAUAAAUAUGGAGUUCAUAUUUUAUAAACCAGUUGUUUAUAUUACAAUAUUCAUAAAAUCACUAUUUUAUAAUACAUUAUGAGUUUCAUAAUAAAUAUGUUCGAUCUUUAUUUAUUUUAUAAAAAUAUAGAAUAAAUUUUUAUGAUAAAAUAAAUAAUAAUUUAAAAUAAGUAAGAAGUAUUGAAAUUACUUAUCUCUUUUGCUCCGAACCUUCAAAGUUUAACUAUAUGAAUCAUCUGAACUUAUUCAAAGCAAUUAAAAUCCAUUAUCAACAAUAUUGAUAUUAAAGAAAACUAAGAUGAGUUAAAAUUGAGCAAUCCAAGAUGGGGGAAGAAUAAAGUCAACUAGAUGGCAGUGCUCAACUAACUGGGUCGGUUUGAACAAGAUGCACUUAACUAGUUAUGAUCAAUUAUGGUUUAGAUAAUUUAAUAAGGAUCAAUGCUAACUGGAUUCCAAAUGUAUCCAGCAAGGGAUGGGAUGGGGUUGACACACCGCAUGGGUAUUAAACUAAUUUCAUGACAAAAGAUUAUCUUAGGUUCAUAGUAGAGGAGCAUGGGCCCUCUACUGAGAUCCAUGGAUCAGAUAGAGAGAGAAAGAGGGAGUAAACAGAGAAACCCUAGAGAGAAGGAGAGAGGGAUAACUCUUCUCUCUUCUUUUUUCUUUUCUUUUCUUCUUUCUUUCUUCUUUUUCUUCUUCCCUUCUUUGGCCGAUCAAGGAAAGAAGGGGGGUAGUGGCUAGUGGUUGGAGGACUGGCAAUAGGUGGUAGCAGCGAGUGGCCGGCGGCGGUAGAGCAGGGAACAAUUGGCGGCAAGUGGCCGGCCGACAAAAAAAAUGAAGAACAGGGCCAAAUCGAGACCCUUUGCCCGGUUAUGGUUGGAAAAGGAAGAAAAGAAGGGCCAAAAAUAGAGGAUUUCUUUUUAAUGAUUUUCUGGUGACCCUAAGGACUGGCAGCGAUGUGCAAGGCCAUAGAAAGAAAGGGACGGGAGAGAGGACAUGAGUCCGGGGCCUUACCUCAGCUUCGGUGGUGUCUUGGCUUCGAUUUCCAAAUGGGCAAAAGGAUGGGACAUCGUAAACUUAAAUUGGGAGAAAGAGAGAGGAGGUGUGAUGAUCAAUGGUAGAGGACCAUAGGAGGGAUGGGGGGCUAUUUACGGAGACCCCAAAGAUCCUAAUUGCCUUAGGACUGCGGCUUCUUCUCGGAAUUAAUUGGGAGUCUUCUUGCAGCUUUUUUUCUCCCCCUUC